RNAcentral lists this ribosomal RNA (465 nucleotides) under uncultured bacterium. Its description in RNAcentral is "partial 16S ribosomal RNA". It matches the Rfam family "Bacterial small subunit ribosomal RNA", at positions 338 to 795 of the family's 1533-position model. The record is from RNAcentral.
CCUACGGGAGGCAGCAGUGGGGAAUAUUGCGCAAUGGGCGAAAGCCUGACGCAGCGACGCCGCGUGAGGGAUGAAGGUCUUCGGAUCGUAAACCUCUGUCAGCAGGGAAGAACGGUCACUGUGCUAAUCAGCAGUGAAUUGACGGUAACUGCAAAGGAAGCACCGGCUAACUCCGUGCCAGCAGCCGCGGUAAUACGGAGGGUGCGAGCGUUAAUCGGAAUUACUGGGCGUAAAGCGCUCGUAGGCGGUAUGUCAAGUCAAGGGUGAAAUCCCCGCGCUCAACGUGGGAACUGCCUUUGAAACUGGCAAACUUGAGGGUGUUAGAGGAUAGUGGAAUUCCAGGUGUAGGGGUGAAAUCCGUAGAUAUCUGGAGGAACAUCAGUGGCGAAGGCGACUAUCUGGCACAUAACUGACGCUGAGGAGCGAAAGCGUGGGUAGCAAACAGGAUUAGAUACCCGAGUAGUC